AGGGUGUAAACGCUGCAGACUUGGUGUUGGGAACCCUUCGGGGGUGCUCAGUGCCGGAGAGAAGUUGUUAAGUCUGCUACUUGGGGAGUACGUCCGCAAGGAUGAAACUUAAAGGAAUUGGCGGGGGAGCACCGCAACGGGUGGAGCCUGCGGUUUAAUUGGACUCAACGCCGGGAAGCUCACCGGAUAAGACAGCGGAAUGAUUGCCGGGCUGAAGACUCUGCAUGACUAGCUGAGAGGAGGUGCAUGGCGUAGACGUCU
RNAcentral lists this ribosomal RNA (261 nucleotides) under uncultured archaeon. Its description in RNAcentral is "partial 16S ribosomal RNA". It matches the Rfam family "Archaeal small subunit ribosomal RNA", at positions 748 to 1009 of the family's 1478-position model. The record is from RNAcentral.